This 327-nucleotide ribosomal RNA is filed under the name uncultured eukaryote. RNAcentral describes it as "partial 18S ribosomal RNA". It matches the Rfam family "Eukaryotic small subunit ribosomal RNA", at positions 1470 to 1796 of the family's 1831-position model. The record is from RNAcentral.
CCCUUAGAUGUUCUGGGCCGCACACGCGCUACACUGAAGGAGGCAGCGUGUACUCCUGGGUCGAAAGAUUUGGGUAACCCGCGAAUCUCCUUCGUGCUAGGGAUUGAGGUUUGCAAUUAUCCUUCAUGAACGAGGAAUUCCCAGUAAGUGCAAGUCAUAAGCUUGCGCUGACUACGUCCCUGCCCUUUGUACACACCGCCCGUCGCUACUACCGAUUGAAUGAUUUAGUGAGGACUUCGGACUGGGACCGAUGCGGCUUUCGGGCUGCGUCGGUAUUCUGGAAAGAUGUCCAAACUGUAUCAUUUAGAGGAAGUAAAANUCGUAACA